RNAcentral lists this ribosomal RNA (254 nucleotides) under uncultured bacterium. RNAcentral describes it as "partial 16S ribosomal RNA". It matches the Rfam family "Bacterial small subunit ribosomal RNA", at positions 524 to 776 of the family's 1533-position model. The record is from RNAcentral.
UACGGAGGGUGCAAGCGUUACUCGGAAUCACUGGGCGUAAAGGGCGCGUAGGCGGCCUAGCAAGUCUGGUGUGAAAGCCCAGGGCUCAACCCUGGAAGGGCACUGGAAACUGUUAGGCUUGAGUUCCGGAGAGGAGGGGGGGAAUUCCUGGUGUAGCGGUGAAAUGCGUAGAGAUCGGGAGGAAUACCGGUGGCGAAGGCGCCCCUCUGGACGGAAACUGACGAUGAGGCGCGAAAGAGUGGGGAGCAAACAGG